CGUUGGUGGGGAUGUCCCGGAGUAGGAUUCAGAGCGGUUUUUUUAAAAUCCGAAUCUAAAUUUGGCGGAUUUUUAAAUUUAUUUUUGACAUUUUUAUUCCUCUUAUAUACUGUUAUGAUUUUUAGAGGGACAUAUUUGUGAUGACAAAAUUAAAAAUAUAAACAGUUAUAUAACGAUUCUCCAACGAUAACAAACCAAAUGGACAUUGUUCGUAGCCGAAAUCCCUGAUCCUUGACCCGGUCAAAGACCCUCCUCGAGAAGCGUGUCGGGAUGGAAACGGCUUAUGGUACUGAUCCUCGAAGUUUGCACCCUUCGAACGAUCAAGCGAUUCGGCUGAUGAGGGAUCAAAUCAGCCGGGUUCGAAACCUCUAAAGUAAACUUGGUUCGGCGGGAUGAGCCGAAUGUACGGACAGAGUUAGAAACGAGUACGGCCGAAGAGCCGAACUAACAGAAAAGGUGAGAAUUGGUAGGCUAGAGGAGCCGAAUGCCUUUAUAUUGAGUGGAAGGAAGUACAGGGGUCGAGUGUGCCGGAUGGCAUGCAGACUCGGUUGAUCUACUUUACGGGCUACUCCUAGAAAGAACAGUAAAUGUGGGAAAAGAAAAGUUACAGGUAAACUACUCCUAGAUAAUGCAGGAAAUUGCGAGGAACCAAGAGUGGUCUUUUGUUCGUAGGGAAAAAGACCCAUUUUUUAGGGCGUUAUUGACCUAUUUAUAGAUCGCCCCUUGAUAAGUUAUUGCUCUUACACGAUCGGCUACUAUCUCCUAAUAUCCCGGACCACCUCCAGCCGAUCGGAACCGCAUGCAACUGCUUGCGGUUACUGUAACUUCCUUCAAUUGGCGCGACGGUUUACUUUAAAACUUUUCCGGUGCUCCUGGUGCACGGUCAGAUUGAUGCCUUUGAAGGGAAUACCGGCGUACCACUUGUCCGCACCUAAUUGGCUCAACAAUUGCCCCUCGACAGCUUUCGAAGUAACUCUUCGGUAGCUGGCGUAAUCCGAGGUGCGAUUACUUUUCAAACUCUUGGUACGGUUUCGUCUCAACCGUCCACUUUUUUUGCUGCCGAAAUCCCGCCAUCGUUUCAAUAACAAGCGCGAUCCGAGGCAUGGUUCUCGAUCCGAUCAGAUUCAAAUUCUCUGUACGAGUAACUGACGUACUCCGAGGCAUGACCCUCUGUACUGUUCAAUCUUAGCCGCCCAUUUCUUUCCUACGACUCCGAUCUCGCUCCCUAUUUUUGUCUCAUAUGCGGCAUUAAUUAGGUUAUCUUAAUUACCGUCGUCUAUUCAUCAUUAUAGCCGACCUCAGAACUCACUUCGAUGCGACGGUUCGCCGCGACGGCCUUUUCUUCUUCCCUAAACUUCUCAUUCCCUUUGUCUUUUCUAUCCCCUUUUUAUUUCUUCCUCGUCUUCUUCGGCGAAACUUCUCUUUCGCUACUCUUUACUUCUUCUUCGUCUUCUCUGAUUUCUUUUAAUCUUCAUCUUUCAUUCACACUCAUUCGAUAGUUUCUUUUCGCUUCGAGUAAUGGUGCCGCUCCCGCCUUUACCUACUCGUCCUUCGCUGGAUUAUACUUUACUUAAACCAUAUCUCUCUUUAGACCCCACUAGAUUAACCUUGGGUCCCUCCUUUACUAAAGAUCCAACUCCUGAUGAUUUUCCUAACUCCAAUGAUGGUCUUCCAUUAAUGGCUAAAUCCAUUCAUCUUCACUCCUGGUAUUCCUCGACUUUGACAGGAAAAAGUCUUCGAACUUGGCCGAGUGUUUCAGAUGAUUACUUGGAUUGGUUGGACCGAGUGGAGGCUGUUUAUGGUAAUUCUUAGAAGGAGAUCGGGAUUUAUGAAGCUAUUCGGCUAUCUAGGAAGCCUCAUGUAGCCGACAACCUUCUGUUAGCUUAUGCUCUUUGUUUUUGGUCCCCUGUCUCCAACGUUUUUCUUUUCAGAGGGAGACCUCUUACUCCGACUCUUUUUGACAUAGCCGCUAUCGUUGGACUGCAUCCUCAUGGAGUUACCAUCUCUAUGGCUUAUAAUCCCAAUGGCGUGUCUGACUUUGAGGCUCAUCUCGACCUCAAUGACUUGGCUUACUCCAAGUUCCUCCGUAAGUUUGCAGGCGAAUCCCCUACUCCUGUUACUAGAAAAAAACAUACAGCGUUCCUCCUAUUUUGGUUAUGCCACAAUCUCUUCUGCACUCGUUCGCAGAAAAUCAAUCCGGACUUUGUCCCAAUCGCCGUUGGUUUAUCUAACGGCGAUAGAUUAGCUCUAGGGCCUUAUUUUCUUGCCUUCGUCUAUAGGAAAAUCUUUGAUUCCAUUAAACCACUACCCUCUGGAGAUGGUGUAACAAUCAGCUCGGGCUGUGGUGUUUUUUGGUUUUUGCAAAUAUUUCUGUAAAUUUAUUUUUAUAAAUUGUGCCGAGAACCUCUAGAUCUAGACUCGGCUCCUCAUUUUGACUCUUAUGGGCUUGCUCUCGGCUGUCCUCAGCCGUUAACAUCGGGCCACCCUCUUUAUUUUAUCACCUAUUUCAAAACUUUUUAUGAAUCAGAUCCUCAUUUUCUCGUUUCUCGGUCUUCUCUUACUGAUCGUGUCACCGGCCCACCUUGGUUUUUAGCUAGGUAUGAGGUUAUUCAAGGUAAAACUGCUUCUUCCCGUGCCGGUGAAUAUUCAGAUAUUUGGUACUCUUUUUUGGCUACAAGGGAUUUGCACAUUGGUUUGAAAUCGCGCUCGAAACUACUGCCCAGUACUGAGGUUUACUCCCCCCAGUUCGCAGCACGUCAAUUUGGAUUUACACAAGCAAUCCCUGCUCCAGCCAAGUUCUUUACGGCCAAUACUGCCGUUCAUCGUCCUCCCACCAAAAGCAUAGCCGAUGCUGAUCGAAUUUCGGCCAUGGGGAAUCGUCUUCGACGUUUCUUCAAAUUAUUAAGCUUUAGGCCGAAUUGUACAGGAGUAGUAGGUUUCCGCUAUACCAUUAAUUGGGAUCGUUUUGUCAAUAUUACAUUCAAUUUGUCUACUUCACAGGCACACCGCAAAACUAUUCAACCAAUUGGUAUGUCUCUUACUUAUAGAAAAUUUCUUGUUUGACAUAAUUCCUGCUUAUUUAUUUUCUGUUUACAGUGCCUUUUUCAAGCAAAUGUCUUCCGGACGAUACCGCCGCUUCAUCUGUACUACAAGAAGAAUCGGAAGAGAUUUCCGAUCAUAUCUCCGAUAUCCCUCAUUCUUCUGUAAUAUACCUUGCUUUUCUUUUGAUUUUUCUUUUCUUUGUAUAUGUAAUGCUUACUUUUUCUUUUUUGCAGUCAAUUCCGGUUUCUCCGUCAGUCCCAGCUUCAGAGAAAAGGUCGACGGUAACUACACAAUCUACUCCUCCGCCGCCUCCAAAGCGGCACAAGUCGGUCGUCAAGAGACCGCAUUCGUAUUCCCAACAAACCGAAAGCGCUCCUUCGGCUGACGUUUUAAAGAAAAGAGCCGAAGAUGUACCUUCGGUUACGAUUCCAGAAAGAAGAGUCGAAGAAAUAUCUUCGGCUGAUGCUCCAAAAGAAAGAGCCGAAGUAUCAUCUUCGGUUGCUGAGCAAAGCUCUGUUUCGAACGAGCCGAUUGAGAUUGAGGUAAACCAAUUUAGUUAUCUGUACUCAAUCCUUUUGUUUCUUUAUUUAUUUAUUCUUUUCUCCUAAUAAAACAGUCCUCUCCUGAAAGAAUCCAUUUUGCUCAUUCUUUGAAGACGCAGAUGGAUAGACAACUCCGUCGUGAAGCUCGCCUCAAAACGAGGGAAGAAGCAGAGAAGAAUAGGGCAACUCAAGAAAAGACCCAAGAAUUGCCAACAAGUGGUGUAGCAUUACCUAUUUCAAUUCCAAUGCCAACAACAUAAGGAGGAAAUGUGAAUGCACCUUUGGAAGAAGACGUUGGAGGAACACGAACAGAGCCUCACUUGACUCCUGAAGCUUCAUCGUCUGUCCCAGAAGAUCCUCGAUCUGCAACUUUUCACUCUCUCUUAAUUUCGAGUCCAAAUUCUAAUGAAGGAGAUGAUUCGACUACCAUUGUAAAGUCGUCAGACACUCAACAAUAAUUUGAUGAGUGUCUACGAUUAUAUAGUCAAGGUCUCCCGUAUUUGGCUCAAAAUUCAGAGCAAUUUGAUCGGCUGUGUGCUCUUUCACUUGACUUGGCCGAUCAGUCAGACAUCUUUUCUGCUGGUAAAUAUUUUGUAGAGAUUCUAUUGUCUCAACUUUCUUCUUUUUUAUCUCGGCAACAAUCUUUGAGUGCUGAAUUUUUAUCCCUUGAUCAACAUUUUCAUCAAGUUGAUCAUUGUAAAAAUACUAUACUUGAGGUAGCGGCUCUUAUUACCGAUGUGAGCCGAGAGGAUCAAACUUUAGCAAAUCAAGAAUUGGCUUUGCAACAGCGAAUUUCAACUCUCAAGAAAGAAUUAGCCGCAGCCGAAUUAACUCUAGUUCAUACUUCUAAGCGUCGGCUCCUCCUACAGGAUCAAUUGAAGACGAAGAAGAAUGAAGGGGUAAAGUUUCAAGACAAGCUUACCCAACUUUACAAAGUGCAUCCUUUAAUGAAACGUAGGAGAAAAAUAGCUGAGACUGCCCAAGCUAACUUGAUAGCCGAAUGGAACCAACUCAAGGAUUUACUAUCUUGAUUCGGCUUGUAAUCCUUUAACUCUGACUUUGAUUAUUCUUCCACAUUGAUAGGUAAUACUGUUUUAGGUACUUUCCAUUGAUUGGCUUUUUAUUUUCUAACACAUCUAGCUUUUUCAAGUAAUAUGUGUUUCCUCUUGUGAUUCUACUGAUUUGAAAUGGUCCUUCCCAAUUUGGAGACCAUUUCCCGUAUACUCGGUCUUUUCGACCGAUUGGAAAAAUAAGCCUAAGAACCAAGUCACCAACUGCAAAUGACUUAGCUUUAACUUUUUUAUUAUAUGCAUUGCGUACUCGGCUUUGAUAAGCUUGUAAAUGGUUCAAUACCAUCAACCGAGUUUUAUAUAUUUCUUCCAUUUCUUCCUUCAUCAAAUUACUAUAUUGAUCAGCCGAUAGCUCCUUUUGCCUUUCUACUCUUAAAGAAGGGACUGUUAUUUCGGCUGGUAUCACAGCCUUGUGGCCGUAUACUAAUUGAAACGGUGUCAUCCCCGUUGCUGUUUUUAUUGAAGUUCGGCAUGUCCAUAAUAUUUCGGAUAACUUUUCAUUCCACUUUCUUGGAUGUUUUCCGAUAUGCCGCUUCAUAAGAUUUAUAAUCACCUUAUUUGCUGCCUCAGCUUGUCCAUUAGCUUGAGCAUAAUAUGGUGAUGAGUGAAGUAACUUGAUCUUCCGAGAUUCAACGAACCGAAUGAACUGAGCUCCUGUGAACAUUGUUCCUUGAUUGGUUGUGAUCGUCUCAGGAAUCCCAAAGCGAUGAAUUAUUGAGUCUUCAACGAAAUCAAUAAUUUCUUUUUGAGUGACCAAUCGAGCAGGUUUCACUUCUACCCACUUGGUAAAAUAAUCAACGGCCACUAUUAAAAACUUAUGACCAGCCGAAAAAUUCGGCUGAAUUUCUCCAAUCAAAUCCAUGGCCCAACCUCGAAAAGGCCACGAUUUAAUUAUAGCAUACAUCACGGAAGCAGGUCGGCCUAACUUGUUGCUGCGAGUGCGGCCGAUACCCAGGAAACCUUUGCUUUGAGCCGAAUGGUUUUUCUGGAUAACUCUAUCGGCUAUGACGUUCAUCUUGUCGGUUAUGAUAGUAAUCAUGCAGAACUUUCUGCAUCAAUAAAUCUUUUUUGUGUUGAACCGAAUCGAUUUCCCGUUUCGUCUCGUUUGAGACUUCAUCUGAUCCAUCCUUUUCUUGAUCAUCUCCUUCAGGAAUGUCAUCCCAUUCCUCGGGGAAUGCCAUUAAUUUAUUCCAUUCGUUGCCUCUCUUUUUGUCGUUGAUAAUGAUUUCCGAAUCUUUUUUCGUCAUUUCGGCUUUGCAUCUUAUGCAAAGCCGAAGGUUUCUUUUGGCGUGUGCAAUAUUUUCUGCGGUCGUCUUGUCUGCAAUCUCUUUUCCUUUAGCAUUCACCAUGUUAACCUGUAACGGAAAAGAGUUUUUGUCAAUUCUUGUAUUUUCAUUUUCUUGAUCAGCUAAAAUGAGUCGACCCUCGUCUAUUUCUUCUUGGAUCUGCCUUUUUGCAGUCGCUUUUUCUUUUUCUUUCAUAUUCACCAUGUUGACCUGUGAUGGAAAAUGAUUCUUAUCAAUUUUUAUAUUUUUAUUUUCUUGGUCGGCAAAUAUGAGCCGACCCUCAUUUAUUUUUUUUUGAAUCUGCCUCUUAAAGACAGUGCAUUCAUUUGUCUUAUGGCUCCAUGAGUGGUGCCAUUUGCAAUAUCGUCUACAUUUUAAUUCUUCCACAGGAGGUAUUGUUUUACCCUCCUGCAAUUGAAUUUGACCAUCUUUUAGCAACCGAUCAAAAAUUAGAUCGGUCUUUGACACAUCAAACGAAUAUGUGUUUGCCGACACCCGUGCUUUCGCCUCGCUUGACUUAGCAGGCUUCAGCAAAGCACAUUUGUAUGGCUGUCGACUUUUUACAAUCUCAACUGCAUAUACUUCGGCUUCAUCAGCCAAAUCUUCAGCCUCUUCAGAUGAAUUCGGCUCCUCACGAGCCGAAGACUCUUCAAGGAAUGAGAUAUGUUUCUCCUUCCUUUUGUUCCACUCUUUGUUUCGGCUCCAUUGGGUCGAUCUUCAUUAUUUCCUUUUCGGAAUUGCUCAUAUUGAACAACUCGAACUCCCAAAUUGAAAAAAUUUGAAAAAUAUUUGUCUUCAAAAUAAUCUUUAAUUUUAAAAUGCAAGCCGUACGAAAUGCCAUUUUGGCAAACUCCGACUCUGGCAUUCUCACAAAACAACAGCUCCUAGCCGUCUUGAAUCGGUUCAAAUAUUCAUCAAUCAAUUCUCCCGUUCUCUGUUUGAACUGAGCCAAAUCGGCAACCGAUAAUUCUGGUUCGGUUAUAUAGAAUUAUUCAUGAAAUUUUUCUUCUAAUUCGUCCCAAUUCCGGACGGAAUUAGCCGGCAAACUUGUAUACCAAGUGAAAGCCGUCUUGGUUAAUGAGGUGUUAAAUAAUCUUAACUUUAAAAAUGGGUCCACUGCGGCUUCUCGGCAUUGUGCCGUGAACCGUGCAACAUGUUCGAUCGUGUUCUCGGUCUCAUCUCUGGAAAACUUAUCAAACUUCGGCAUUUUUCAAUUUGCCGGGUAUGGAUGUUCUGCGUCUAUAUUCGCAGGGUAAGGUGAUCUAAAUACAGGCCGCAUUGCUAGCCUUGCGCCUAUUCCGAAUGUAUUUCGGAUGGCUUCCUCUAUUUGCGCAUAAAUUUCAUUGUUAUUCCCCCGGGGGGGGACUUUUGCUUGUACUGGAUUUGGUCCUUGUGGUAGAUCAAAAUUUUGUAUCAUAGGGUUAACUCCUUGUACAUUCGAAGCCUGCCCCCUAGCCCCUACAUUUUCGGGCUGGUAUGCUGCUACUGGUGGAGGAGGCGGUAACCCCCAUGCUAUCUCAGGUUGUUUGCCGGCAUUGACAACUGCCGGUCUAUAAAUUCUCUGAAACGGUGCCCCCUGGUAUUGAGGUUGACCGUUUACCGGUGUUACAUGAUUUUGUAACACUGGCGUCAUUACAGGCGCUUGUAAGCCUGUUAUCGGCUGCCCAUUCCGAGUUAAUAAUUGUCCUAUUCGGGCAAUAUUCUCGUUAGAGGCUGUGAUUGCGGCUAACACCGCAUCUAGCCGUGCAGUGCUAGUAUGACUAUUUUGGUCCAAAACUUGUAGGACCGAAGUCAUUUGCCCAAUCGCCUGAGCCAAAUUAGGCUCUUGCUGGCCAGAUUGGCCGCUAGUUUCACCCUCAGCGGGCAAAACCGCUUUGCGUUCGGCAACAUUUUUUGAAUUGCUAGGUUGUUCGCUCCCAGAACUUCUAGGAACGGCCCUAUUUUGUAAAUUCAUGCAUUAUCGUCAGCCAUAAUAUCAAUAACUGAUAAAAAAUUACCUUAAAACGAGUCCCACCGAGCGUGCCAAAAAUUGUUCGUAGUUGAAAUCCCUGAUACUUAACACGGUCAAAGACCCUCCUCGAGAAGCGUGUCGGGAUGGAAACGGCUUAUGGUACUGACCCUCGAAGUUUGCGCCCUUCGAACGAUCAAGCGAUUCGGCUGACGAGGGAUCAAAUUAGCCGGGUUCGAAACCUCUAAAGUAAACUUGGUUCGGCGGGAUAAGCCGAAUGUACGGACAUAGUUAGAAACGAGUACGGCAGAAGAGCCGAACUAACAGAAAAUGUGAGAAUUGGUCGGCUAGAGGAGCCGAAUGCUUUUAUAUUGAGUGGAAGGAAGUACAGGGGUCGAGUGUGCCAGAUGGCAUGCAAACUCGGUUGAUCUACUUUACAGAUUACUCCUAGAAAGAACAGUAAAUGCGGGAAAAGAAAAGUUACAGGUAAACUACUCCUAGAGAAUGCAGAAAAUUACAAGGAAUUAAGGAUGGUUUUUUAUUCGUAGGAAAAAAGACCCUUUUUUUAGGGCGUUAUUGACCUAUUUAUAGAUCGCCCCUUGAUCAAUUAUUGCUCUUACACGAUCGGCCACUAUCUCCUAAUAUCCCGGACCACCUCCAGCUGAUCGGAACCGCAUGCAACUGUUUGCGGUUACUGUAACUUCCUUCAAUUUGCGCGACGGUUUACUUUAAAACUUUUCCGGUACUCCUGAUGCACGGCCAAAUUGAUACCUUUGAAGGGAAUACCGGUGUACCACCUGUCCGCACCUAAUUGGCUCAACAGACAUAUUUAAAAAUAUCAGGACUUUUGCAUGAACAAUAUAUAAAAGUUGAACUUUAUAAGUAUAUAUUUAUUAUUCAUUAUACUUGUAGGGACCUAUAUAAAAUUAACCUGUAGCCAAAAGUAGAAAGGAAAAAAAAAGGAGCCAAUCAAAUCCUAAAAGCCACAGUAUGCAAGCUUUUUUAAACCUUAUUGAAUGCCUAGGUUAGGCCGAGGUUACAUGAAACAACAAAUAUUUUACUANGAAACAAGAACUACAUUUGAAGACUCGGUAAAUGCCUCAACUACAAGAGUCGGGGAAGCAACGAAAGAUCGAUACAUUGCCCGGCCCUCUCCUCCUUCCGCAUCGUAUAUCGAAAUGUUAUAUAUGAAAUUCUUCCUGCCCUAUGUGCCGGGACAUGCCUACACGAAAGCUGAAAGAGUACAUCGUCGGGGAAGGGCUCAUCUCGCACUUAAAGAUCGAUAGCUCAUCUCGAGACAAGAGAUAUUCUAGAAAUAUAAUAUAAGUAGUUAAGAAUAGCCCCUACUCCAAAAGCUAACCCAGCAGCUAAGAAAGCAAGAACUAGCUAGAAAGCGUCUUCAGCGUCUCAAGCUGAAAGAGCGGAAA
This 9315-nucleotide long non-coding RNA is filed under the name Ananas comosus (pineapple). RNAcentral describes it as "long non-coding RNA (ACOM_LNC014847)". The record is from RNAcentral. Lineage: Eukaryota; Viridiplantae; Streptophyta; Magnoliopsida; Poales; Bromeliaceae.